AUCCAACCGAUGAGUCUCAAAUAGGACGAAACGCAUGUCCUGGAU
This 45-nucleotide non-coding RNA is filed under the name Schistosoma mattheei. The record is from RNAcentral. Lineage: Eukaryota; Metazoa; Platyhelminthes; Trematoda; Strigeidida; Schistosomatidae.